UUCCUGGUGGUCCAGUGGUUCGGACUCCACAUUUUCACUGCCGAGGCCUGGGCUCAAUCCCUGGUCAGGGAA
This 72-nucleotide transfer RNA is filed under the name Bos taurus (domestic cattle). It matches the Rfam family "tRNA". From Rfam's summary of the family: Transfer RNA (tRNA) molecules are approximately 80 nucleotides in length. Their secondary structure includes four short double-helical elements and three loops (D, anti-codon, and T loops). The record is from Rfam by way of RNAcentral. Lineage: Eukaryota; Metazoa; Chordata; Mammalia; Artiodactyla; Bovidae. RNAcentral also lists the same sequence under 5 other names.